Molecule: ribosomal RNA, 1169 nt
Filed under: uncultured marine eukaryote
Lineage: Eukaryota
Description: SSU rRNA
Rfam family: Eukaryotic small subunit ribosomal RNA
Source: RNAcentral
AGCUCGUAGUUGGAUCUCGGCGGACUGAGGGCGGUUUGCUUGCUAGUAUUACUGCCCUAUAGUCCGUAGUUUUGCCAGAGGUUUCGAGGUGCUCUUAAUCGAGUGUCCCGGGAUGCUGGCAGGUUUACUUUGAAAAAAUUAGAGUGCUCAAAGCAGGCUAUUACGCCUGAAUAUUCGUGCAUGGAAUAAUAGAAUAGGAAGUCGUUUCUAUUUUGUUGGUUUUCGGAAAUCGACUUAAUGAUUAAUAGGGACAGUCGGGGGCAUUUGUAUUCAAACGACAGAGGUGAAAUUCUUGGACCGUUUGAAGACAAACUACUGCGAAAGCAUUUGCCAAGAAUGUUUUCAUUAAUCAAGAACGAAAGUUAAAGGUUCGAAGGCGAUUAGAUACCGCCCUAGUUUUAACCAUAAACGAUGCCAGCUAGCGAUCUGCGGACGUUUUUUUUGUAGACUCCGCAGGAAGCUUCCGGGAAACCAAAGCAUUUGGGUUCCAGGGGAAGUAUGGUUGCAAAGCUGAAACUUAAAGGAAUUGACGGAAGGGCACCACCAGGAGUGGAGCCUGUGGCUUAAUUUGACUCAACACGGGAAAUCUCACCAGGCCCGGACACUGGAAGGAUUGACAGAUUGAUAGCUCUUUCUUGAUUCGGUGGGUGGUGGUGCAUGGCCGUUCUUAGUUGGUGGAGUGAUUUGUCUGGUUAAUUCCGAUAACGAACGAGACUCUGUCCUGCUUCUCUUUUGAGCAGACAAUUCUUCUUAGAGGGACUGGCGACUCUUAGUCGCACGAGAUUGAGCAAUAACAGGUCUGUGAUGCCCUUAGAUGUUCUGGGCCGCACACGCGCUACACUGAAUAGAUCAGCGUGUUCUCCCUUUCCGAGAGGAACGGGUAAACCGCUGAACCCUAUUCGUGGUAGGGAUCGGGGCUUGCAAUUAUUCCCCGUGAACCAGGAAUUCCCAGUAGGCGCAAGUCAUAAGCUUGCGUCGAUUACGUCCCUGCCCUUUGUACACACCGCCCGUCGCUACUACCGAUUGAACGUUUUAGUGAGGUCCUCGGACUGUUUGCCUGGCGGAUUACUCUGCCUGGCUGGCGGGAAGACGACCAAACUGUAGCGUUUAGAGGAAGUAAAAGUCGUAACAAGGUUCCCGUAGGUGAACCUGCAGAAGGAUCAAAUCGU